Long non-coding RNA from Sciurus carolinensis (gray squirrel), 466 nucleotides. RefSeq lists it as uncharacterized. NCBI's taxonomy places the organism in Eukaryota, Metazoa, Chordata, Mammalia, Rodentia, Sciuridae. The record is from RefSeq and is a predicted model, not a curated record. The transcript is spliced from 3 exons.
GUGCAACUGGAGUGGAGAGUCUUUGAAGUAGAGAGUAAUGGAAAUCUUAUUCACAAAAUGUUAGAGUUAAAACUGUUUCUUAGAAAUCAUCUGAUCUAUUGCUUUGCUUUACAGAUGAGAAGUUAAGACUAAGAUGGAAAGUGGUUACACCAUAGUCAUGUUGGCUGAAUAAAAGAGAAUCCACACAACCAGGAAUGGUGGCACAUGCCUAUAAUCCCAGCUACAGAAAGGCUGAGCUAGGAGUACCUCAAGUUCAAGAAGAUCUUUGUGGUUUCCAGAACCAUCUUGACCAGAGGAUGUUCCUGCAAAGAACUGCACCUGUGAAAAGAAUGUCAAAAUAACUAGGCUACUUCUGCAGAGUGUUUUUCCUAUGAAGAUGGUGGUGUUGGUAGUGGUGGGAUUCCAGAAAUGCUGGGAUGGAACCCAGGGCCUUGCACAUGCUAGACAAGUGCUCUACCCCUGAGCC